RNAcentral lists this long non-coding RNA (199 nucleotides) under Lathyrus oleraceus (garden pea). RNAcentral describes it as "Pisum sativum (pea) long non-coding RNA (PSAT_LNC000858)". The record is from RNAcentral. Lineage: Eukaryota; Viridiplantae; Streptophyta; Magnoliopsida; Fabales; Fabaceae.
UUGAUGUUGAUGUUGUGGUUGUUGCUGAAUUGGUAUUGUUUGCUGAUUAGAAAAGACUAGAAUAACGAAAGAUACUUGAUGAUGAUGAUGUUGACGGGGUGGUGGAUUUCUUCUUGCUUGAGGCCUCCUCUUCCUCCCACUGGAAAUUGCAUUGAUCUCACUAUCUUUCCUCUUGCUGAAACUACUGUCAUACUUCUUG